Molecule: ribosomal RNA, 449 nt
Filed under: uncultured bacterium
Lineage: Bacteria
Description: partial 16S ribosomal RNA
Rfam family: Bacterial small subunit ribosomal RNA
Source: RNAcentral
AGCGAACGCUGGCGGCAGGCUUAACACAUGCAAGUCGAACGCCAUCUUCGGAUGGAGUGGCAGACGGGUGAGUAACGCGUGGGAACGUACCUUGUGGUUCGGAAUAUUCUCGGGAAACUGAGAGCAAUACCGAAUAAGCCCUUAGGGGGCAAGAUGUAUUGCCAAAAGAUCGGCCCGCGUUAGAUUAGGUAGUUGGUAGGGUAAUGGCCUACCAAGCCUACGAGCGAUAGCUGGGCUGAGAGGAUGAUCAGCCACAAUGGGACUGAGACACGGCCCAAACUCCUACGGGAGGCAGCAGUGGGGAAUAUUGGACAAUGGGCGCAAGCCUGAUCCAGCCAUGCCGCGUGAAUGAUGAAGGCCUUAGGGUUGUAAAAAUCUUUCAACGGGGACGAUAAUGACGGUACCCGUAGAAGAAGCCCCGGCUAACUUCGUGCCAGCCGCCGCGGUAA